RNAcentral lists this ribosomal RNA (467 nucleotides) under uncultured bacterium. Its description in RNAcentral is "partial 16S ribosomal RNA". It matches the Rfam family "Bacterial small subunit ribosomal RNA", at positions 28 to 507 of the family's 1533-position model. The record is from RNAcentral.
GACGAACGCUGGCGGCGUGCUUAACACAUGCAAGUCGAACGGAAAGGCCUCUUUCGGGGGGUACUCGAGUGGCGAACGGGUGAGUAACACGUGAGUAACCUGCCCUUGACUUUGGGAUAACUUCAGGAAACUGGGGCUAAUACCGGAUAGGAGCUCCUGCUGCAUGGUGGGGGUUGGAAAGUUUCGGCGGUUGGGGAUGGACUCGCGGCUUAUCAGCUUGUUGGUGGGGUAGUGGCUUACCAAGGCUUUGACGGGUAGCCGGCCUGAGAGGGUGACCGGCCACAUUGGGACUGAGAUACGGCCCAGACUCCUACGGGAGGCAGCAGUGGGGAAGAUUGCACAAUGGGUGGAAGCCUGAUGCAGCAACGCCGGGUGCGGGAGGACGGCCUUCGGGUUGGAAACCGCUUUCGCUCAUGACGAAGCUUUGUGUGACGGUAGUGGGUAAAGAAGCACCGGCUAACUACGUG